RNAcentral lists this long non-coding RNA (220 nucleotides) under Elaeis guineensis (African oil palm). Its description in RNAcentral is "long non-coding RNA (EGUI_LNC024308)". Lineage: Eukaryota; Viridiplantae; Streptophyta; Magnoliopsida; Arecales; Arecaceae. The record is from RNAcentral.
GGAGUUCUAACUCAAACUCUGGGGGGACUCCAUACUAAAUUCAUAUCCGACUCAAGUCGUUCGAAUUUAGUAUAGAGUCAGAGGUGCUGGAUCCAACCUCGCUUCAGUUUUCAGUUAGGUUCUUAGGAUUCACUAUUAGAGAGGAUUGAUCUCCCACAGAAUCAUCGAAACCCGCCAUUUAAGUCAAAGUGAAGAAGCCAAAAAAAAGUAGUCUAGAGAA